This 593-nucleotide long non-coding RNA is filed under the name Ananas comosus (pineapple). RNAcentral describes it as "long non-coding RNA (ACOM_LNC002385)". Lineage: Eukaryota; Viridiplantae; Streptophyta; Magnoliopsida; Poales; Bromeliaceae. The record is from RNAcentral.
UCGUUGGGCCCAAAUAUUAGCCCAAAAUGCUUAAGCCCAGUUAUUAUUACUAGUGUCUAAUUCUCUUAUAUACCCAAUCACAUCCCCUAUCCCUAUUCCCAUCCGAUGUGGGAUUAUUGGGGUGUGACAGACUCCCCCCGCCAUUCCCAUCCGAUGUGGAAUUAUUGGGGUGUGACAGACUCCCCCCGUUAAGGCCUUAGCGUCCUCGUCAGUCCAAUUACACACAUAGCCUAAGAUCACCAGUCGAUGUGAGACUCGUUUUUCUAGCCUUGUCAGCCAGACCCUGACAUAGCCGGUCACCUUGUUAUAUAGACUCUGGUAUAGCUUAUCAUUUUGUCUUUCAGACCCUGCCUCAGCCGAGACUCGCCACAAAUUUUCGACUUUGGCUCUGAUACCAAAAGUAAUGACCCAGCCCACUAGCAACAAUAUCUCGUUGGGCCCAAACACCAGCCCAAAAUGCUUAAGCCUAAUUAUUAUUACUAGUGUCUAAGUCUCUUAUAUACCCAAUCACAUCCCCAUUCCUAUUCGAUGUGGGAUUAUUGGGUGUGACAGUCACUUCAGUUUAGAAAGAAUUAAUAUACAGACUCUUUCAU